Molecule: transfer RNA, 74 nt
Filed under: Loxodonta africana (African savanna elephant)
Lineage: Eukaryota; Metazoa; Chordata; Mammalia; Proboscidea; Elephantidae
Rfam family: tRNA
About the family: Transfer RNA (tRNA) molecules are approximately 80 nucleotides in length. Their secondary structure includes four short double-helical elements and three loops (D, anti-codon, and T loops).
Source: Rfam by way of RNAcentral
CCCUGAGUAGUGCAAACAGUUAACAUGCUUGGCUGCUAACCAAAAGGUUGGAGGUUCAAGUCCACCCAGAGGCA